This is a long non-coding RNA of Pezoporus occidentalis (night parrot), 1384 nucleotides long. RefSeq lists it as uncharacterized. The transcript is spliced from 2 exons. Lineage: Eukaryota; Metazoa; Chordata; Aves; Psittaciformes; Psittacidae. The record is from RefSeq and is a predicted model, not a curated record.
UUUCAAAGCCUGAUGAAGGAUGGAAUGAGCAGAACCUGACAGUUUUCACUGCCUGUGUUUAGCAGAGGACAAAGGUUUUGCUUUACCAGAGCUGCUCAGGCUGUUUGUCACCACAUCCAACAUACUCAGUGUCAGUGUGCAGUGGGAAAGGAUCUCAUCUCCAAGCUAUGAUGGCUUAGCGGCUGGAAGCCAGCACCUUUCUUCCACCAGAUACCGUCCAACCUUGAAUCCCACCAUCCAGAUUUGCAGAACAGUGGCCCGAAGCAAAGCUCUUCCUUGACUCUGAUACUUCUAUCCAGAUGAUGGGUUAGUUUAGACAGUAAAGAAUUUUUCUAACAUUACUAAUGUGAAGAAAUAAAGAGCUAUCAAACCAAAAUGUAACUGACGCCCAGUUGCCUUUUAUCUGGCUGUGCUUUAUUUGCACAAGCUGAAGAACUUCAUGGUGCCAGGAGGAAUGUGAUAGAAGUUCUUUGUCUCAUAAAUUAUUUUGGCCCAGUCUUCCCCAGGGAUAUAGGGCAUGAGAGCAAGAGCUGGCAGCAUGGGUUCUGCUCCCAGCUUUGGCACUGACCUGCUGCAUAACCUUGGACAACUCACUUCACCUCCCCUGAGCUUCUGUUUCCCAUCCUCUCUUUUGUCUGCCUUGUUUAUUUGGAGUGUCAACUCCUAGAGAAAGGAAUUCAGCCUCCCUGGCUGCUUGCAGAUUGCAUAGCAUGAGGGAAGCUCAAUCAGACUUGUUCCUGGGAGGUAUUACAGUAAAAAAAUUCAUUAUGAUGACUGAAAACUAGCAUUUGCUAAACAAUUAAAUGGGCGGUUUCAAUUAUUAAGUGGCAUACAUGAAUUAACAGGACAUCUCUGGCACUUCCCAGUGUUUGUCCACGGGUGGCGACUGCUGCAUCUUUCCUUUUCUGUGGCUACACCAAAGGCCACAGUCCCAUAAAUUCUGACAUCUUCUCCCUGUCCCAGCUGCACAGUGGGAGGAGUGGAAAGCAUCUGUUGGAGAAGAGGAAGAGUUCAUUGGAGGUAAUGAAGAAGGCUACUCUCGGAGUCCUCCCUUUGUGAACAUCUGGGCAGAUAACAGUUCUUCUGAGAAAGAUUGAAAGAGCCAGUGAGGCCUCCUGGAAAGGGCAGGGAAACCAUCUGCCUCAGAGCUGAUCAGGGUCAAGGGCAGAAAGGCCAAGAGAGGCUGUGCGGUCUAAUGCAGACCCUGUCACCUAGAGGUUGUAAGUGAAACAGAUUAAACCAAGGCUACCAAAGACUAUCUUUGAGUGAAACCGUGAGAUCCUUGAUCCCAGAAUAUACCUCUUUUAGGCAAGUACUGCAGCCUUGAAAUACAUUUAACCAUAUGGAUGGUAUCAAGAGAUGUAAUAAAAGGCUUGCCAUUGCA